RNAcentral lists this ribosomal RNA (700 nucleotides) under Streptomyces sp. RNAcentral describes it as "bacterial SSU rRNA". It matches the Rfam family "Bacterial small subunit ribosomal RNA", at positions 62 to 779 of the family's 1533-position model. The record is from RNAcentral. Lineage: Bacteria; Bacillati; Actinomycetota; Actinomycetes; Kitasatosporales; Streptomycetaceae.
UCGAACGAUGAAGCCCUUCGGGGUGGAUUAGUGGCGAACGGGUGAGUAACACGUGGGCAAUCUGCCCUUCACUCUGGGACAAGCCCUGGAAACGGGGUCUAAUACCGGAUACGACCUGGGAAGGCAUCUUCCCGGGUGGAAAGCUCCGGCGGUGAAGGAUGAGCCCGCGGCCUAUCAGCUUGUUGGUGGGGUAAUGGCCCACCAAGGCGACGACGGGUAGCCGGCCUGAGAGGGCGACCGGCCACACUGGGACUGAGACACGGCCCAGACUCCUACGGGAGGCAGCAGUGGGGAAUAUUGCACAAUGGGCGAAAGCCUGAUGCAGCGACGCCGCGUGAGGGAUGACGGCCUUCGGGUUGUAAACCUCUUUCAGCAGGGAAGAAGCGAGAGUGACGGUACCUGCAGAAGAAGCGCCGGCUAACUACGUGCCAGCAGCCGCGGUAAUACGUAGGGCGCAAGCGUUGUCCGGAAUUAUUGGGCGUAAAGAGCUCGUAGGCGGCUUGUCACGUCGGAUGUGAAAGCCCGAGGCUUAACCUCGGGUCUGCAUUCGAUACGGGCUAGCUAGAGUGUGGUAGGGGAGAUCGGAAUUCCUGGUGUAGCGGUGAAAUGCGCAGAUAUCAGGAGGAACACCGGUGGCGAAGGCGGAUCUCUGGGCCAUUACUGACGCUGAGGAGCGAAAGCGUGGGGAGCGAACACGAUU